CAAGCCGUUUUCAAUCAGGUGGAGACUGCUCUGCUCAUCCCAGAGGCCUCAGUUAUACAUCCCUUGGUGUAAAAAAUGUGAUUCAAUAAUUUAUAGAAGAAAAGAAGCUUCUGAAUUUCUGUCCCAAGUCUGUUGUGUCAGAUGAUGACGAGCUAUCCUUGUUUUAAAGCCCCCUGUGCUGCCUGUUGUCUUCACGUCACUCAAACAUUUCGAGCUAAAUGGCUAUCAGUCAAGACUGGUGCCACACAGCCAGAAGAUUUACAUGUACAACUAUUAUCUAAGUCUCAAGGACUUUUUUCCAUUCUGCAUAACCUACCCAGCUUUCAGGAUUUAUAUUUAUAUUCAAAAGGGGGGCAUGAGGAAGUGUAACAUCCAGCCAGUCUUCGAGCACCGCACUGUAAUGCAGAGUCAGGAAGAACAACUGCCAACUAUUCAUAAACAAGACACCACUGAGAGAAUCCUAGGACAUAAGGGUGAGGCUGAAGCUCUCCCCUGCACCUCAGAGACCAAGACAGACUGCAUUGGAAAGACUAGAAGUCCUCGAUCAAUGUUCCAGUCAAUUAGCUUCCUGGUAAUAACUCUCUUCCUGACUUGUGGAUGGACGAUGGAUGGCUUCCUACAGGGUCCUCACAGGCCCUUUGCUUGGCGCUUGUGCACAGAGUGAGACUGAGCUGUGCCUCCUCUUCUCAUCAGUACACCAAUCCUACCAGAUCAAGGCUCCACCCUUCUCAAGGUCACUUAACCUUAAUUACUUCCUUAGAAGCCCCCUCUCCGAAUACACCCGCCCUGGGGUUAGGGCUUCAGCAUAGGAA
RNAcentral lists this long non-coding RNA (812 nucleotides) under Equus caballus (horse). RNAcentral describes it as "lncRNA (ENSECAG00000032838.3)". The record is from RNAcentral. Lineage: Eukaryota; Metazoa; Chordata; Mammalia; Perissodactyla; Equidae.